This 517-nucleotide ribosomal RNA is filed under the name Campylobacter coli. RNAcentral's name for it is "bacterial SSU rRNA". It matches the Rfam family "Bacterial small subunit ribosomal RNA", at positions 1002 to 1522 of the family's 1533-position model. Lineage: Bacteria; Pseudomonadati; Campylobacterota; Epsilonproteobacteria; Campylobacterales; Campylobacteraceae. The record is from RNAcentral.
AGAGAUAAGAGGGUGCUAGCUUGCUAGAACUUAGAGACAGGUGCUGCACGGCUGUCGUCAGCUCGUGUCGUGAGAUGUUGGGUUAAGUCCCGCAACGAGCGCAACCCACGUAUUUAGUUGCUAACGGUUCGGCCGAGCACUCUAAAUAGACUGCCUUCGUAAGGAGGAGGAAGGUGUGGACGACGUCAAGUCAUCAUGGCCCUUAUGCCCAGGGCGACACACGUGCUACAAUGGCAUAUACAAUGAGACGCAAUACCGCGAGGUGGAGCAAAUCUAUAAAAUAUGUCCCAGUUCGGAUUGUUCUCUGCAACUCGAGAGCAUGAAGCCGGAAUCGCUAGUAAUCGUAGAUCAGCCAUGCUACGGUGAAUACGUUCCCGGGUCUUGUACUCACCGCCCGUCACACCAUGGGAGUUGAUUUCACUCGAAGCCGGAAUACUAAACUAGUUACCGUCCACAGUGGAAUCAGCGACUGGGGUGAAGUCGUAACAAGGUAACCGUAGGAGAACCUGCGGUUGGA